Macaca mulatta (Rhesus monkey) is the source of this 2515-nucleotide non-coding RNA. NCBI's taxonomy places the organism in Eukaryota, Metazoa, Chordata, Mammalia, Primates, Cercopithecidae. The record is from RefSeq and is a predicted model, not a curated record.
CAGAGAUUUAUGCAACAUGCCAAAGGUUACACAGCUGGACAUAGCAGAACCAAGAUUCAAAUCUCCACAGGAAGAAAACUAUGAGUUAACAUGUAACCUCCUGGACUUUAGGCUCUAAUCAAUGGUGAAAAGCAAACUAGAUAAAGGAGGAACCUACCUUUUGUGAUUCAAUGACAUGGCUAAUGUGGGCUGUAUGAUUCUUCUCACGGAGUUCUAUCUCCCAAAGUAUUACUCAUUUUUCUGUUUGACUUUUCCAUUGAUUUUCCACUGAUACUUUUCUGAUUAAUGAGACCCCUGUUAUGAAUUAUGAAGCACUGUGAGAAUGCCUUCACAUAUCUGUGGAUUAUAUCUGUGGCUUAAUUUUUAUCUUGUCUAGAGCGAUGAGGGACUCUGGCUUCUCAAGAGACUCUCAGUGUGGAAACCUUCCUGAAAGCUCUGUGUGGAGGUGGUAAACUGCCCUGAAAUAGACUUCUUAGAGAAGGAAGCAGAACAGAAUGUUCACAUAAAAGUGCUAGGUUGGAUAAUAAUCAUAUUUAGCACUUACAUAACAGUUUUCAUUUCCCAAACACUUUAUAAACAGCAACUAAAUAAACCUUUCAACAUCUCCAUUAAAUAGAUAAAUAAGCACUAUUAUCUUAGCGUUCUGUUUGGUGGAGAAAAAAAAGUCUGUACUCGUUUAUAACUGCAGGAGAUUAUUUCAGAAUAAUGAUUCCAACUCCAGUGUCUGUAAGCCAGUCUCAAGCUCUACCUGUUCCAAUUUUCUUUUCAAGGCAACUGAUUAACUGGUGCUCAUGUUGGUCAUUGUGAAACUGCAGUCAAAGCCAUUUCUCUGCAGCAAUCUAAGUUCAAAGAGUUACUCAGAGAUGAAUGCCUGGGAAGUUUCCAUUAUAGGCCUGACUUGAUAAAGGAAAAAGUAAAUAAGUACCUGAAAUAUCAGGAGGAUGUGAACUGCCCAAGCUUGUCUCAGUUCCUGAGAUCUUCCUCAGUUAACAUUAAUAAUGCUCCCCAGCCAGAUAAUGAAUCCCUCACCAAGGCCUGGUGGAAGAUGGCAUACUGCUUGCAUUUGGUGAGCCUCCAAGGUUUCGAUUCUUUCAACAGAAGCAUAUUGAUUUCCUUUCUUCAUGUUUUCUCAGAGUCACAAAGUGUCACUGCCUACUUUUUCCAGGCUCCCUGAAAAUUUUUUAACAUGUUUUCUGCUUGCUCUACUUCCUGCUGUUCCUUUUCACUGAAAAAAGAAUUUAAUAGCCUGUUUUGAUUCAAAGAAGGCAUGUGAAUGUACUUUUCUGCAACUAAAGUACAAUUUGUUUACAAAUGUUGGCAUGGCACAAACGAACCAUUAUAUGACUUCCUUCACUAUUUGAUGGCUUUGUUCUUAAAAAUGUUAAAGUACCAAAUCAGUUCUCAUUUAUGUUAUCCCUUUUAAGCUAAAGCCUUCUUAAUAUGGACAGAGUGGUGGUUGAGGGUGCAGGCUCUGGCAUCAAACUGCUUUGCCAAGUUGUUUAAAUCUCUUAGUCUUAGUUUCUCAAGAGUAAAGUGGAACCAUUGACAAUACUGAUGUGAGCAGGUUGUUAUGGGGAUUAAUGAAAUUAUAUGUUUGAAGUGGGAGCACAGAGGUGGGGCUAUGGAAGGGCUCAAUAGGUACUAGGGGUCAUCUUUACCACCACCAUCACCACCAUCAUCAUCAUCAACCUCAUCAUCAUCUGGCAAUGGUACAAUGUAAGAACAGAAAAAAAAUUGUCCCAAGAAAGACUGUAAUCAUAAACCUGGGAUUAUCUGAAAUCUGCACAAUUCAUCUUAGUUUUCCUUGAUCCCUCAAGAAUUGGGUUAGCCAUCAUCACAAUAGAAGCAUGAAUUCCUAGGAUUUAGAAGGAUAAUGUUAUGAUGCUAGGGUAAGUGAGGCUUUAACUAGAAAACUCAAAAAGAGUUCAGGUUUAUUUUAUAUUAACAACUGGGUACAAGAAGAGAAUGAAUUUCCUGAGUGUCUGGAAAGCUCUGGGAUCCAGAAGUAGGUAGAGAGGAACUUCCAGCAGUGGCAGAUGAGAAACAAAUGCCUCACACCCUUAAGAGCUUUAGAAGGUCAAGUCAAGUACAUCCUGGAAAUCUAGAGGAAGGUGGCAGAGCCAAGGGCAAAGGCAGCCUAUGGGCAGGGCAGAAGUCAGCUGUUUGAAGUUGUCAGCCUCCAUGUGGAUGGUAGCCCAGGAGGGGCAUAGGCACUGUGGAGGAGCCACCAGGCUGUGGCUGCUCGGCAGGGCCUGGACAGCAUAGGAGGUCACUGUGUUAAUUAACAUGAGUGGCACUUUCUACCCCUUGUGUUCUCCCAAACAGCCACAACUAUGGGAAGUGGGGCAAACUCAAUGAGAAUCAAUGAGACUUCACCAAAGAUACACAAAGUGAAGAAGCCUGGAGCGAUAUAGGUGGUCAAAGUCUUAUUCUGUCUCUUACAGAAUCCAAGAAAUUUUAGGGGCUGAACUUGUGGAUGAACUUUGAAAGAAUUUGGAUAUUGGAGUAAGCUAGU